Molecule: long non-coding RNA, 305 nt
Filed under: Elaeis guineensis (African oil palm)
Lineage: Eukaryota; Viridiplantae; Streptophyta; Magnoliopsida; Arecales; Arecaceae
Description: long non-coding RNA (EGUI_LNC015254)
Source: RNAcentral
CCACUAAUCUAAGUCCCAUCCUCGUAAUGUGAACUUUCAUUUUUGACUGGCUCAAUUGCUUUGUUAGCGGGUUUACCAUAUUGUUCAUGGAAUCUACUCUUCGCAUCUCAAUAUGUUUAUUUUUGAGGUAGUCACAUAUGAUAUUGUUAGGACCAUAGCCCCUAACCAACUUUUUAAAAGGCAAAUGCCCAUUGGGAGGCGGAGUUUAUUAGCCUUUAUCCACUAGGCACAAGGGCUUCAUACCUAAGUUGAUGCGCAUCAAGCUAGAUCACCCUCAAUCAGCAAGCUAGGCGGUUAGACCCAUU